This 399-nucleotide ribosomal RNA is filed under the name Triticum aestivum (bread wheat). RNAcentral's name for it is "partial small subunit ribosomal RNA". The record is from RNAcentral. Lineage: Eukaryota; Viridiplantae; Streptophyta; Magnoliopsida; Poales; Poaceae.
AUGACGGACUGCAUCUGCCCAGACGAUUUUUGCAACGGCCACGACGAAGUGCAUCUCUCAAUUCCAGGAUCAGCAUGCUGGAUGAAUCCUCCUUGCCUGUUAAGUCGCAAUGGUGCAACCAAACACCAUGGAGGCUUCUGUAUUAGGGACGGUGAAUCUGCAUCGACAGUGAUGGAUGGAAAUUGCUCGCCCUCCUUCCUCCAUAAACCAUGGGGACCUUGUAUACUUGUAUUAGCCUCCCCAUCUAUCCAUCAGGAAGCCCUGACUUCCCCUGCUAUUGCUGUCGAAAACGCUACCCUUGCAGAACAUGAACUGAACUUAAGUAUGGCACAUGGAGCUUCAGAUAAUUUGAAGCCUCAAAUGGGGAUGACAUUUGAAGGACUGAAGGUUGCGGAGUAG